UGCUUCAAGUCAGAUCAGUAAUAUAACAUUUUUUAAUCAUUAAUUAUUUAUUUAUUUGUUUUUUGUUUUUUAAUCCAAUCAGAAAUAGGAUUAAUACCUAGCAGGAAACAUAUGUAGAGUUUACUUAAGUGUUGUGCAUAACAACCAAGAAAUAUAAGGUACAAGUAGAAGUAGAACAGAACAGCCUAGUUUGUGAGUGUUAGGAUGUUAGGCCUUCAGAGGUAAUGGAAACCUACAAAUGUCCAGUCAGUGAUGUUGUGAAAUUUCAACUGUCAAAAUACCUGCAGCACCUACAGCUAUUGCAUCAUCAUCAGCCCGAUUUUAGCAUUGUCUGCAAUAUAGAGGGAUGCAAGAGGAGUUAUAAAACUGUUCCAAGUUUUAGAACCCACAUCUACAGAAAACAUAGAGCUACUCUCAGGAGGCCUACAGAUCAUUUUCAGAAUGUAACUCUUGCAGAGGGCUGUAGCUCAGUAGAGCAGGUCGACUAGUGAUCAGAAGGUCACUGGUUCAAAUCCCGGUUCUGGACAGGGCUGAGCUGCAUGUCGAAGUGUCCUUGAGCGAGAUACUGAACUGAACCCCACAUUGCUCUUCAGUAAGGACCCUGCGAUGAGCAGGAGUAUCCUGCCCUCGCCCUGAGACAAGCCUGGCUCCAGCAGCAACACCCUGCGACCCCAUGGAAAGGGAUAAGCGGUUACAGACAAUGACAUGACAUGACAACUCUUGCAGAGGAAAAUGAAGAGGACGAGGUAGUUGUCUGCCCACAACUUGGCUGGAUUUACAAGCUGUUUUAGCAGUGGAAGGAUGUGCAGGUUCUGUAUGACUACAUAUUGUGACUUAAAGGCACAUGUGAAUGAAGAUAAUGUGCAUAUUAGAUCCUCAAAUGUGCACAGCUACGAUCUGAAUGCACUCAGUGAGAACAGUCAACUGUCAAAACAGACCUACGGCGUGGUUAAGCAGUGUCCAUUCACUGAGCUUGAAUACUUUGAUGUCACCAGACCAUUUCCCCAGACCUAAUGCACGAUUUCUUAGAGGGCAUUAUUACCAGUUGUCGUCUGUAAAGUUGUCACUGCGCUUCACUUGCUGAAAAUUGUAACACUGAGUGACAUCAAUUCAGAGCUGGGAGCAUUUAAUAUCGGAAAAAACGAUAGAGGUAACAUCCCGCCGAUAUUAUCACCAAGUACACUGAAGCACAACAAGUUGACUGGAUCAGCGGCAAAAAAAACUGGUGUUUAUUCAGGAACUUACCAUUCCUUAUUGGACAUUACAUUCCAGAAGGUGAGAUCCACUGGGAUAUCCACUGUUUAUCUCAAAUGCAGAGAGAUUGGAGAUAUCAUCCUCUCUCACUCCAUCAGAAAAAGCAUCAUUCCUGUCCUCAGCUUCCAGAUUGGUGAAUUCCUCUCCUCCUUCCUGACCGUCUUUCCAGACACCUUCACACCUAAAUUGCACUAUCUCAUUCACUAUCCAUGCCUGACUUUAUCCAUGGUGCAUGCGAUUUGAGGGGAAACAUCAGUACUUCAAGAGGUUAUUCCACAACACCCGUAACUUCAAGAAUCUUUGUUACACCCUCUCCAAGUGACGCCAGUUAUGGCAGAGUUGGGAGCUAAUAUCUCUGGAUAUCCUUCGCCAGCACUCAUACACUGAAGGUGAACGACAAGUCCCAUUCUGGUCUCUUCCCCUUGAUAUUCAGGUAGGUAUUGCUGUCAAGGGUGGGGUUGAAGACAUCCCAAAUGAGGAGAAAGUAGGAGUUGUUAGCUCUCUCUUGACUAACACCAUCAAAUACAAAGUGGAUGACACCAUCAUAAUUGAUGUGGUAGAGGAGGACAUUCCCAUCUUUAUGAGAAUAGCUAAGAUUAUCCAGUUCAGGGCUCUCUGGAUGAUCUUUGGAAAGCUACUGACACCCAAGAAAUUCGGCAGCCACUACCAUGCCUUUUCUUUGGAGGACCAGAAAAAGUGGAUUGUGGUUAAGCCAGGGGAUGAGAAAGAUUACCAUGCUUUGGACACCUACAUUCAUGAUAACAAUACAUUCCUUACACUUCAUGUAUAUGUCCAGAGGUAAAAACCUUAUGUAUUCCUGCAGUUGUCUUAAUGAAAUGUGUUAUUUUUUGUCCCUCUGAAAUAGGUAACCAACCUCUUGUUUAGGAUUACAAUUUCCUGACAAUUUAAUGUAAUUCUUACCUCAACAGAACAGCAAAUUGAUGGGGAAACUCUGCUGGGAUUAACAGAGAGGAUGGUGGAAAAACUUCUCCCUGUGAUGAAACACCAGGUCAUGUUUCUGAGAGAGUUGGAGAAGUUGCGGAACACCUCAUCUUUGGCCAAACAAGAAGAUCCAGUGCCAUGUGAUGUACUACCUGCAGAACCAAACGCUCAUCAGGAAGCCCAGGAGUCUUGGCCAGCAUUAUACAGCCUGCCACUUCUGCCCCCAGAGCUGCAGGAAGCUCUGCAAAGAAAGGAUCAAUCUUUCAAAAAGAAGGACAAGUCCCAUUUACGAGCCAAGUUGGUCCAAGUGUUGUUCGACAACUUAACCAAAUACACAUGGAAACCUUACUGGAGUGCCUGAGAAAUAAGUUCAAGGAAGAGAGGUCUCCUUUAUUGCACUUAAAAACAGUCCAGGAAAUGAAAAAAAAGUUUGGUGCCAAAAGACAGAGAAGAGGGGACCACCUGCCUUUGGAGGACCUAGCUGGACAACAGAGAGCAAAAAGGCGAAGAAUUGAUAAUCCAAUCCAGAUAUCCUCUGAGGAUCUUGAUCCAACACAGGAGGUAUGCAAUUUUUUUGAUGAUUGAAAUAAUGUUGUAUAUUUGGCAUGAGGACAUUUACAUUAUCUACACGGCUUCUGUCACGCUCAGACAAGGAGAGAGGACUCAGAUGCAGAAAUGAUGAAGUAAAGACAGGUUUUAUUUUACUGAUUUGAAGCUCUUUAGAAUGAAUAACAAAUCAAUGGCUAUGAAAGUUCUAUGGAGACAGACAAGACGAACAAGACAAAUAACACGUAAAACGAAAAGCGCUCCCGAAGGAGGAAUCUACACUAUUCUUAAUUUCAAGGCUAUAAAACUUUAAAUAGAAAACAAAAACUUCUCCGAAGAGGUCAGCUCACAGGCUAUGAAAAAUAUCUACUCUCAAUAAUAAAAGGUAGAACAAAAGACGCUCGACGCGGAGGAAAACAAACGGCUAUGAAAGUCCUAAACUGAAAAUAAAAACUCUAACCACAAACGUUAGAAACAAAAGGAUCAAACAACCAAAGAGAACAAAUUCAGAAAAUAAAACUUGACAAUACUUAGGUAUCAUCUUACUUUCUUUGGCUGGUUUGACCUGGCUGACAUGAAAUGUCGGAUGAACUCUUAGGGACUGGGGCAGACGAAGUCGUACAGCAGCGGGCCCGACGAUCUUGGUGAUAGGGAAGGGGCCCACAAAACGAGGAGCCAAUUUUUUGGAAGGAACCUUGAGGUUAAGGUCUUUCGCUGACAGCCACACUCUCUGGCCUUGUCGAUAGUCUGGGGCUGGGCGUCUCUUCCGAUCCACGGUUCUCUUGACGCGGUCUCCCUGGCGAAUAAGAGUCUGUCAAGUGGCGGCCCAGAUGCGUCUGCAGCGUCGAACCAUGGCGUAGGCUGAGGGGACCGAAACUUCCCCUUCAUUGUCUGGAAACAGAGGUGGGGGGUAUCCUAGAGCACAAUGAAAGGGAGAGAGACCAGUAGCGGAGGUGGGUAAUGAAUUGUGCGCAUACUCAACCCAGACCAGGUGUUGGCUCCAUGUUGAGGGGUUCUGGUGAACCACGCAUCGGAGGCCGGUUUCCAGUUGUUGGUUGAGGCGUUCGGUCUGGCCGUUGGCUUCAGGGUGAUAACCGGAUGUCAGGCUUGCUCUGGCUCAGAUGAGUCGACAGAAUUCUCUCCAGAACCUGGACACGAACUGGGGCCCCCAGUCUGAAACAAUGUCUUUGGGGAACCCGUGGACACGAAAAACAGUGUUCAUCAUAACCUCUGCCGUCUCUUUGGCAGAUGGUAGUUUGGGAAGAGCGAUGAAUUUCGCCAUCUUGGAGAAUCGGUCCACCACUGUGAGGACUGUAGUGUUUCCUUGUGAGACCGGGAGCCCAGUGACAAAGUCCAUCGACAUGUGUGACCAUGGUCGAGAUGGGAUGGGAAGCGGUUGGAGUAACCCAGAGCGAGCCUGUGAUGACGUCUUGUUGCGUGCACAGACCGAACAAGCCUCGAUGUACUCCCGGACCUCCGACUCCAUGGCGGGCCACCAGAACCUCCAGGAGAUGACGUAUAUAGUUCUCCUGACUCCCGGAUGACAAGAAAGCAGCGAGGUAUGCGCCCAAUGAAUCACCUGUGGCCGUAACUCAGAGGGAACGAACAGACGGUUGUCGGGACAGCCACGAGGUGCGGGGGCGCCACCAUUUGCUUGCUUGACCUCGUAUUCUAUAGGCCAAGUCACCGCUCCAACCACACAGUUCAGUGGAAGGAUAGGUUCGGUUUGCUUGGUCUUGGGCUCGGGAUAGAAUAGUCGAGACAAGACGUCCGGCUUGACGUUCCGGGAUCCCGGCCUGUAGGACAGAGUAAAAGAGAAACGGUUAAAGAACAGAGCCCACCUGGCCUGGCGAGAGUUAAGCCUUUUAGCCUUUCUGAUAAACUCCAGAUUUUUGUGGUCUGUCCAGACAAUGAAUGGUUGUUCGGCCCCCUCCAACCAAUGCCUCCACUCUUCCAACGCAAGUUUUACCGCAAGCAGCUCCCGGUUGCCGACAUCAUAAUUGCGCUCUGCCCGGGACAGCCGUCGUGAUAGGAAUGCACAGGGGUGCAUUUUGCCGUCCUUCUCAGAUCGUUGGGAUAGGACAGCUCCAACCCCAUCAUUGGAGGCGUCAACCUCCACCACAAACUGUCGUCGAGGAUCAGGCAGGGUAAGGAUGGGAGCCGUGGUGAAGCGGUGUUUGAGUUCCUGGAAUGCUCUGUCUGCCUCAGGAGACCAGCGAAAAGGAACCUGGGGUAACCUGAGAUGCAUCAUGAAAUGAGGUUGCAUUUUGGCCAGGACUUGGAGCUAAAUCUUCAAGAUGCUGUUAAUGUGAUGACACCCAACAUUAUAAAGGUGGCUCGAAGUGGGAGUCAGAGAGGCCUCCUGUCAUGCCUGCUGGGAACUGAGGCUAACAAAGAUGACCUGGAAAAGAGUGCAGCAAUGCUGAUUCUGCCUGCCCUAUUCAAGGAGAGUUUCUUUACUGUUUAGAUGAGGAACCAGCAAGCUCAUUCCCAGCCAUCAUCUUCCAUGAUGUUGGGGAAUCCCCUUCUUGCUGCGAAAGCAUCAAUAAAGAUGGAUAGAGUGACCAUCACAAGUGGGAACCUGGAUGUGCAACAGGCUCUGCAGUGUCUGCUUGAGGUAUAUUUCCUGUUUGGCGUGGAAUACCCCAAACAGAUGAAACACACGUUGUCAUUUAUAGAACACUAUUUGUUCAAAAUAAGAAAUGAUAAUAAAAGACUGUCUAUCCCAGCUCUCAAAAUAUACAAUCAGCUUUCACACUAAAUUUUGAAAUUGAUGUAAAUAGUUGUUUUCAAUGAAUUUUUGCCGAGAUUAAAAUCUU
Acanthopagrus latus (yellowfin seabream) is the source of this 5561-nucleotide long non-coding RNA. RefSeq lists it as uncharacterized. The transcript is spliced from 8 exons. Lineage: Eukaryota; Metazoa; Chordata; Actinopteri; Spariformes; Sparidae. The record is from RefSeq and is a predicted model, not a curated record.